AUCUUAAUAGCUUAAUUUUUAGAGCAUAUUAGUGAAGUUAAUAAGGAAUAUUAUUUAUUUAAGAUA
Molecule: transfer RNA, 66 nt
Filed under: Fieberiella septentrionalis
Lineage: Eukaryota; Metazoa; Arthropoda; Insecta; Hemiptera; Cicadellidae
Description: tRNA-Phe
Source: RNAcentral